Molecule: ribosomal RNA, 374 nt
Filed under: uncultured Halomonas sp.
Lineage: Bacteria; Pseudomonadati; Pseudomonadota; Gammaproteobacteria; Oceanospirillales; Halomonadaceae
Description: bacterial SSU rRNA
Rfam family: Bacterial small subunit ribosomal RNA
Source: RNAcentral
AGUAAUGCAUAGGAAUCUGCCCGGUAGUGGGGGAUAACCUGGGGAAACCCAGGCUAAUACCGCAUACGUCCUACGGGAGAAAGCAGGGGAUCUUCGGACCUUGCGCUAUCGGAUGAGCCUAUGUCGGAUUAGCUUGUUGGUGAGGUAAUGGCUCACCAAGGCGACGAUCCGUAACUGGUCUGAGAGGAUGAUCAGCCACAUCGGGACUGAGACACGGCCCGAACUCCUACGGGAGGCAGCAGUGGGGAAUAUUGGACAAUGGGCGAAAGCCUGAUCCAGCCAUGCCGCGUGUGUGAAGAAGGCUUUCGGGUUGUAAAGCACUUUCAGUGAGGAAGAAGGCCUUGGGGCUAAUACCCCCGAGGAAGGACAUCACU